ACUACAUAUAAAAGUUAAUAAGAUCGCUCUCAUAUAUAUGCUCGAGCGCGGCCGCCGCGGGGGGGAAUCGCAUUAAAACCCCUUCACGCCCGCACAUGCACUCGGCGCCUUUUUUCACUCAGCUGGGCUACGGGUGAAAAAUUGGGAAAUUUGCUUUUCCUUUUCUAUAAACUCGGCAUGGUGCAAAACUCCAAAUUCUUUCCCUGAGAUGUAUUUUCCUUGUGAUACACGCGCAACCCCCGGAUUAUUAGCUGGUUGGCGGCUUAGAGCUUUUCAGACCCAAUAUCGGUUUCUGGUUUCAUAUGACAACCAAACACCCUGGAAGUGAGACAGGAUCCAGACUCCCGCGGGGGAGGAAUGGUUGGAUUUUGCGAAUUGGCCCAAAACAGACGAACCCGUUGAGAUGACGGAGAAAGGCCUGUGCUUUCAACCCUCUGUUUUCAUGGAGCAGGUAGUAGGUAUUGAGAAAGUGGAUAGCUUCUGCCACCCCCUGCCCGCAUACGGAGGGGUAUAGCCAGUUCGGAUGUUCGGAGAACCAAUGUUACUUAGCGGGCAUUAGCCGGCAAAAGGAGACAUCUGGGCAAUCUUGCGUGGCAAUGUCUGUAAUACUGCCGUUCUUGCUUCCUAGAGAUGUACGUGAAUUUCAGAGAGUAUGCAGUGAAUUCGGAUAAUAUCCGGAUAUCUCCAGAGCAGCGGCGGG
Molecule: ribosomal RNA, 700 nt
Filed under: uncultured bacterium
Lineage: Bacteria
Description: partial 16S ribosomal RNA
Source: RNAcentral